CACCAGGCGCGAAAACCUUACAAUGCCGGCAACGGCGAUAAGGGAACCUCGAGUGCCAGGUUACAAAUCUGGCUGUCGUGAUGCCUAAAAAGCAUUGCAUAGCAAGGGCCGGGCAAGACCGGUGCCAGCCGCCGCGGUAACACCGGCGGCUCGAGUGGUAACCGUUAUUAUUGGGUCUAAAGGGUCUGUAGCCGGCCGGGUAAGUCUCUUGGGAAAUCUGGCAGCUUAACUGUCAGGCUUUCAGGAGAUACUGCCUGGCUCGAGGCCGGGAGAGGUGAGAGGUACUUCAGGGGUAGGGGUGAAAUCUUGUAAUCCUUGAAGGACCACCAGUGGCGAAGGCGUCUCACCAGAACGGACCUGACGGCAAGGGACGAAAGCUAGGGGCACGAACCGGAUUAGAUACCCGGGUAGUCCUAGCCGUAAACGAUACUCGCUAGGUGUCGGCCACGGUGCGACCGUGGUCGGUGCCGUAGGGAAGCCGUGAAGCGAGCCACCUGGGAAGUACGGCCGCAAGGCUGAAACUUAAAGGAAUUGGCGGGGGAGCACAAGGGCGAAUUCGCG
This 561-nucleotide ribosomal RNA is filed under the name uncultured archaeon. RNAcentral describes it as "bacterial SSU rRNA". It matches the Rfam family "Archaeal small subunit ribosomal RNA", at positions 333 to 899 of the family's 1478-position model. The record is from RNAcentral.